UGAGGAAUAUUGGGCAAUGCCCGCAAGGGUGACCCAGCAACGCCGCGUGGAGGAUGAAUGUCGUAAGAUUGUAAACUCCUGUUAGAGGGGAAGAAUAGUACCGGUUGGACCGGUAUAUGACUGUACCCUCAGAGAAAGCCCCGGCUAACUACGUGCCGGCAGCCGCGGUAAUACGUAGGGGGCAAGCGUUGUCCGGAUUUACUGGGUGUAAAGGGCGCGCAGGCGGGAUAAAAAGUCAGUGGUGAAAUCCUACAGCUUAACUGUAGAACUGCCUUUGAUACUUUUAUUCUUGAGUUCGGGAGAGAGAGACGGAAUUCCAGGUGGAGUGGUGAAAUACGUAGAUAUCUGGAAGAACACCAGUUGCGAAGGCGGUCUCUUGGUCCGACACUGACGCUGAGGCGCGAAAGCGUGGGGAGCAAACA
This 422-nucleotide ribosomal RNA is filed under the name uncultured bacterium. Its description in RNAcentral is "bacterial SSU rRNA". It matches the Rfam family "Bacterial small subunit ribosomal RNA", at positions 355 to 774 of the family's 1533-position model. The record is from RNAcentral.